Molecule: non-coding RNA, 28 nt
Filed under: Rattus norvegicus (Norway rat)
Lineage: Eukaryota; Metazoa; Chordata; Mammalia; Rodentia; Muridae
Source: RNAcentral
UCCUGACUUUGUUGGAGGCCAUUUCAGC